ACGGAAGGCAGCAGUGGGGAAUAUUGGGCAAUGGGCGAAAGCCUGACCCAGCAACGCCGCGUGAAGGAAGAAGGUCUUCGGAUUGUAAACUUCUUUUAUCAGGGACGAAGGAAGUGACGGUACCUGAUGAAUAAGCCACGGCUAACUACGUGCCAGCAGCCGCGGUAAUACGUAGGUGGCAAGCGUUAUCCGGAUUUACUGGGUGUAGAGGGCGCGUAGGCGGGGAUGCAAGUCAGAUGUGAAAUCUAUGGGCUUAACCCAUAAACUGCAUUUGAAACUGUAUCUCUUGAGUGUCGGAGAGGUAGAUGGAAUUCCUAGUGUAGCGGUGAAAUGCGUAGAUAUUAGGAGGAACACCAGUGGCGAAGGCGAUCUACUGGACGAUAACUGACGCUGAGGCGCGAAAGCGUGGGGAGCAAACAGGAUUAGAUACCCUGGUA
This is a ribosomal RNA of 437 nucleotides. It matches the Rfam family "Bacterial small subunit ribosomal RNA", at positions 341 to 792 of the family's 1533-position model.